GCGUGAGUGAUGAAGGCCUUAGGGUUGUAAAGCUCUUUUACCCGGGAAGAUAAUGACUGUACCGGGAGAAUAAGCCCCGGCUAACUCCGUGCCAGCAGCCGCGGUAAUACGGAGGGGGCUAGCGUUGUUCGGAAUUACUGGGCGUAAAGCGUACGUAGGCGGCUUUGUAAGUUAGAGGUGAAAGCCUGGUGCUCAACACCAGAACUGCCUUUAAGACUGCAUCGCUUGAACGUCGGAGAGGUGAGUGGAAUUCCGAGUGUAGAGGUGAAAUUCGU
This 275-nucleotide ribosomal RNA is filed under the name uncultured bacterium. RNAcentral describes it as "partial 16S ribosomal RNA". It matches the Rfam family "Bacterial small subunit ribosomal RNA", at positions 399 to 691 of the family's 1533-position model. The record is from RNAcentral.